This 451-nucleotide ribosomal RNA is filed under the name uncultured Acidobacteriota bacterium. Its description in RNAcentral is "bacterial SSU rRNA". It matches the Rfam family "Bacterial small subunit ribosomal RNA", at positions 63 to 546 of the family's 1533-position model. The record is from RNAcentral. Lineage: Bacteria; Pseudomonadati; Acidobacteriota.
CGAACAAGAAAGGGUAGCAAUACCUGAGUACAGUGGCGCACGGGUGAGUAACACGUGACUAACCUACCCUGGAGUGGGGAAUAACUGAGGGAAACCUUANCUAAUACCGCAUAAUACCUACGGGUCAAAGGAGCAAUUCGCUUCAGGAGGGGGUCGCGGCCGAUUAGUUAGUUGGCGGGGUAAUGGCCCACCAAGACAGUGAUCGGUAUCCGGCCUGAGAGGGCGCACGGACACACUGGAACUGAAACACGGUCCANACUCCUACGGGAGGCAGCAGUGGGGAAUUUUGCGCAAUGGGGGAAACCCUGACGCAGCAACGCCGCGUGGAGGAUGAAAUCCCUUGGGAUGUAAACUCCUUUCGAUCGGGCCGAUUAUGACGGUACCGGAAGAANAAGCCCCGGCUAACUUCGUGCCANCAGCCGCGGUAAUACGAGGGGGGCUAGCGUUGUUC